UUACACCACCAUGUCCUUAUUUGUGCAGACAUUUCGGUCCAGGUUAGUUGCCUCAACUUAGAUUUUCCUGUGCCUUCAUUCUGAGCUCCUACGGCAAGUUUUAAGAAAGAUGGGUUUUAAACCUUUUGUUUCCUGCCUGACUGAAUACCUUGACGUUUUUCUCAUGUAUAUACAGGAACAAACACAUGCCACACACACACAAAGUUGAUAACUGUUGACCUUUGCUUUAUUUCUAGGAACUGGGACUAUUUGACUCAGUGUCAGCCACUACUCAUAUCGUAUCAAAGUUCUCCUCAGUAAAAGAAUCUGUUGAAUAUUUUUGCCUCCCAGCUGAGCAAGGGGAAUACUGUCAGCUUUUUAAAAUACAGUCUAAAUGCUUGGCCAUAACUACUCAUCUGUCAAGUUGACUCCUCAUUAAAAAAAAAAAAGAUGAGAGCGUUAACAUUACAAGGCCCUAGAAGAAAGACAUGUUGCAAUUCAAGUCCGUAUUCUUGACCUUGCCCUGUUACUGUGAAGACUCAUGGGUCUGUCCAGUUAGUCUCUCCUCACUGCCUGAAAGCAUCCCUUGCUCCAGCGGUCCUUGUCUCACAAAUCACUCUCCAGCCAACUUUUCACAUUUUCUCUUCACGCUUGAGACUGCUUCAUGGGAUCCUGAUCAUUUGGUGUUUCUUCUCCUUUCCUUUUUGAGCAAAGUAAGGACAAAUGAGUCAGAAAGAGGAGAGAAGGUAAAGAGGGUGACUAACUCAGGAUCACUUCUGUCACUUGUAGUGGCUGAGGGCCAGGCGAUACUCCAGUGGCACGCUCCCGGCUGGCCCCAUCACACGGCCAUCAAGAACCUACUGUGAUCAUCAGAUACUUCGACAUGUAUUCCUUACAGCUAAGUCUUUAAGGAAGGAUAGUGCACAUACUGAGUGAAAGAAUCAGACUUCAGAAUUCUCUUAAGCUCCAGACUUCUCCCGGACUCCCUCCUGGCCAGCCGUGGCGCACUAGCCCC
Non-coding RNA from Kogia breviceps (pygmy sperm whale), 994 nucleotides. NCBI's taxonomy places the organism in Eukaryota, Metazoa, Chordata, Mammalia, Artiodactyla, Physeteridae. The record is from RefSeq and is a predicted model, not a curated record.